GAGGGUAUAGCUCAGUGGUUGAGCAUGUGCUUAGGAUGCAAGAGGUCCUGGGUUCAAACCCCAGUGCCUCCA
Molecule: transfer RNA, 72 nt
Organism: Camelus ferus (Wild Bactrian camel)
Lineage: Eukaryota; Metazoa; Chordata; Mammalia; Artiodactyla; Camelidae
Rfam family: tRNA
About the family: Transfer RNA (tRNA) molecules are approximately 80 nucleotides in length.
Source: Rfam